Molecule: RNA transcript, 3488 nt
Organism: Hordeum vulgare subsp. vulgare (domesticated barley)
Lineage: Eukaryota; Viridiplantae; Streptophyta; Magnoliopsida; Poales; Poaceae
Exons: 16
Source: RefSeq, a predicted model, not a curated record
ACCAUCACAAGUGAAAAUUCUAAAGCAGGAAAAAGUAGCAUGUCUGGCUGACAACGAUGCAAGGCUUGCAUUAGAUCCAAAUGACAAGUACAAGAUCCAGACAAAGCCACAUGGGCAUGGAAAUGUUCAUUCUCUUCUUUAUUCAAGUGGAUUACUUGAGCAAUGAGUACAGGAUGGAGAUGGGUUCUCUUUUUCCAGGACACAAAUGGAUUGCUCUUUAAUGCAAUACCAUCGGCAUUAGGUGUCAGUGCCACCAAGGGCUACAAUGUUAAUUCUCUUGCAGUUCCUCGAAAGGCAAAGGAAGCCAUUGGUGUAAUAACCAAGCUUACUCAUCUUGAUGGUAGAACAAUGGUUAUCAAUGUUGAGUACAAUCAGCUUGAUCCACUCCUUCGUGCAACUGGGCAUCCUGAUGGAGAUGCAAAUUGUGAAACAGGCUAUUCUCCAUACCUGGAAAUAUAAACCAGGUAAUGUAGCAAACAGAUAAGUUAGAACACUAAUGAUUUGCCAACCUCCAAAUAAUCCUUUGCUUCAAUGGGUCUCAAAUACUGAAAACAUGGUGCUUAACAUGACCUGUUUAUUUAAUAUGAUCAGUGUGAAAGCAUCUCAUUUGAUUUUGUUCCUUCUCAACCUAAUGAUUGCAACUUCGGGAACAGGUAUAGCUUAUGUAUACUCUUGGGGGUUUAAUCACUCUAAUCAACUAUUAUAAUAGAGCACAGCUAAGGUACUAAAUCAUGCAGGGUUAUAUGCAGAUUUGGUUGCCAUUAAAUGAUGUAUGUACGACAGACGGCUCCGGCGAGUCGGAUGGACUGCGACGGUUGCUGAGCUUCUCCAUGGCCUGCUGCAGUUCCAAGGAGACACAACUUCAAAGCACAAUGUCCAUCAUCGCAGAAGCAUAGGUGGUAUACAGUGAGCUUUUUGGAGGAAGUAGAGACAGAGGUUUCUAUUCAACAAAAAGAUGGAGCCGCCAUCAUCAAGCAUCGACGAGCAGCCCAGUCUCAGCCGAUGCAUCGACAGGCUGUGGCGGGCUUCAAUAGAGAAAUAAGGAGGAUAGUAAGACUUUUCCAAUGAUUCUCUUGGAAGUCAUUUCUAUGCUAUUCAAGGAUUUUUUUAUAUCAGAAUGUUAUGACAAUAUAUAGAUAGGGGAGAUAGCCCUCCACAUCCCGGUGGCCAUUGUAUGCUGCAGCAAAGAGCACACUUUAAUUAGUGAGCAGGAAGAUGCGGCAAUCCCAGAUGUGCUUUGACAUCAUGAUUUGUAGUUGUCAAGGACGUCAUUACCCAAGCCUAUUCCUAUGCUUUGGUAAUUUUAUAUUUGAGGUGUAAUAGAUACACAUGCCUAAAUCUGGAUACACUCCAGUGCUGAUGGACUUCCGGUUACUGGCUGCAAACUCUGUACAAGGCAAUUUGAGCUACCACUUGGUGAAGAUCGGAUCUAAUAUGUUCAGUGAUACCUUUUUUUGUAGGGAAUCCUGGAAGAAAGAUCGAUUCGUGUUGGAAUUGAAGUCAUCUAUAGCUCUACGCAGAACAAAGGGGAUCCAUCUAUGGAAUCUUUGAUGUAAACACACAACCAGCUUUCAAGGGAGAUGCCACCGACCUCUACAUAUGACUUGUGGUGGUGAGUCUGCUGUAUAGGGCGGGCGUGAUCAUGGAGUGGGUAUAACUGCAGAAAGCACCGCUAGCCAAAGAACCGACCAUCAAUGCAGCCCUUGACAACCGUAACCAACAAGGCUCUGCGGUGAUUGUGAUGACUGGGUUGUCAUCAUGAUUCACAAGAGGAUAAGCACUAUGAUGAAUUGGGAAAGAGAGGUUGAUACUUCAGAUAUGUUCUACGCUGAUAAUGAUGGUGAUAGUGGCCUACGAUUCAGAUGGAUGGGGUGGAGAAUAGCAUGAAUUAAUCUUCAAAUCCAACAAGGUAGCGCUUCACCAUGGAUGGCUACGACGGCGGCGGAAUGGAAGAGCUCAAUGUGUUCUGUAAGAUGGUUGUCUGGUAUGUGGAGUGAAGAUGCAUCUAGCAUCAGCUUCUUGGUUAUUGAGGACACCUUUCCCUGGUGGUGCUACCGGAGCCCAAAUAUCUAAUUUUUCUUGACCAUAUAGUGAAAGCAAUUCGCUCCGGUUAUCUUCAGGGCUACUGACUUGAUUCGCACGUGGUCCUUACUCACUCCUGCGGAAGCCAAGGAGCCUUUGGUUACUGGGUGUGCUCGCUAGGAGAUUGUAGCUCAGAGUAUGUUCAACCGGUUUGGAUGACGACAUAUUAAUAGGAUAGUUGGAUAGUCAUCUAGGCCUAUUACCAUUCCCGGUUGUGGCGCGACAGACGCCUUGCAUCUUUUAUUUCUUUUCUAAGACCUAUAUGUACUUUGUUGAGACUGGUUUCGUUAUGUUUUAAUAAAAGGCUGCAUGCAUCACUCGAUGCAGAGGCCGGGGCCAUGCCUCCUUUUCUAAAAAAACCCAGGGUGUAAAUCACAAGAGAACCGUGCAAUGAGAUUCUUGUCAUACUGGUGAGGAUAGUGUCAUAUUCUUAUAUUGUUUUGCUCAAUAAUAUUGAAGCAUUGGGCCCUUCUUGUUCUGUAUGUCCAUGGGGAAGAUGGACCUCAUGCCCCUGGGUGUAUGAAGAGGACUGGAGUAGGGAGAGUCAUCCACCGGAUAGGACCCCAUGUCCGGAGAGGGUUGUGCACUUGAGAAGAGCCAAUCAGGGUACACAGACAAGUUGGGUGACCAUGUUCUUGAGCUUUUCAUCCAUUUGAUUCAUUAGGAGAGCCAUAUGAUUUAUAUAACUUGUAUUUCUGGGAGCAUGGUUUUAUAAUUCACUAUGAAAAAAGUCAGCUAAACACAGAGAAGAUGAAAUGCUUGCAAAAAAAGUUUGUGGUUGCUCUGUAUCUUAACUGGGUUGGUAUAGAAUCAAGUUCAGGUUCACCGGUGCUGAUAAUGGAAAUUUAUAUCCGCACAGGAGAGGCCUACAUAGGAGAACAUUAUGUCUUGCCGCUGUGAAUACCCAACAUUGGUUCGACUUUCCACACAUCAGACAAGGGGUGGCACAUUACUAAGCACAGAGUCUCGCACAAUCAUUCAUUCAUGCCCACAUGUGGCGAGAAGGUUCAUUAGCAGUCGUACAAGGAGAUAUAUUAGUACACAAAGAACUUGGUAAAGCUGCUAAGGCAAAACUUUCUUUGACUAUGAAUUCAAGGCCAAAUUUUGCUCCUUCUUUUCCUCCAAUUAUUCAUUCCAGUUUGAUUAGGAUGAGACGUGUUUCGGUUAGCAUGAUUGUUUGUAGAUGGUCACCACCAUCCGUGUACUUUUGUUGUUGUCACUUCAUUAAUUAUUUCCCCAAAAGAGAACAUUGUAGAAAUCAGGUGCAUUUUAUUAAAUAUGAUGGACAAGUUCUUAUGUCAAGUCUCGGGGUGUAGAAUCUAUUUCAUAGAGGUCGGUUAUCCUAUCUUUGUAUUGUUUUCUCUUUGCAUGGAUGAAGGUAUUUUUCGAAGAAUCCUUCUUAUGCU